This is a long non-coding RNA of Penaeus monodon (black tiger shrimp), 480 nucleotides long. RefSeq lists it as uncharacterized. Lineage: Eukaryota; Metazoa; Arthropoda; Malacostraca; Decapoda; Penaeidae. The transcript has 3 exons. The record is from RefSeq and is a predicted model, not a curated record.
AUUACGAGAGAGAAUAGAAGAUUAAUGACAUACUUAAACACUUAACUUAUUAUCUUUUCCUCAUAAUAUAAAACUCCAUAACUAAGUCGACGUUUUUCUCUCUUCUCCCCAGAUUCUCAGCGGGCCUGAGAGCAACAAAGAAGGUGACGGGCGAUGGAGCCACCACAACAACCGCCCACCCGUCACUCUCAGACGCCCCUCGGCCCCGCAGCCCCGCCCACAUCCACGCCCACCGUUACACCGGCCUGAAGUGAACUAUGUUGACCUCGAGUCCCAGAGACACCACCUGUUCUCGCCCCGCCCCCUUUUGCCUCCGGCCCACGAGGAGGCCACGCCCACUCACCAUCGAGGGAGGAGCAUCCGCAUGUCAACCCAGGCUGGCAGAGGUGAUGACCCAGGAGGAUUUUCCGAAGCAGAAGCAAGCGAAGGAGGCGCUGCAGAAGGAGGAGGAAGAGGAGGAGGAGAAGAAGGAGGAGGAAG